GAUGAACGCUAGCUACAGGCUUAACACAUGCAAGUCGAGGGGUAACAAGAGGAAAGCUUGCUUUUCUUGUUGACGACCGGCGCACGGGUGAGUAACGCGUAUCCAACCUGCCUAUAACUAGGGAAUAACCUUGCGAAAGUAAGACUAAUACCCUAUGAUUUCCUUUGAUGACAUCAGAUUAGGAAUAAAGAUUUAUCGGUUAUAGAUGGGGAUGCGUCUGAUUAGCUUGUUGGCGGGGUAACGGCCCACCAAGGCAACGAUCAGUAGGGGUUCGGAGAGGAAGGUCCCCCACAUUGGAACUGAGAAACGGUCCAAACUCCUACGGGAGGCAGCAGUGAGGAAUAUUGGUCAAUGGGCGGAAGCCUGAACCAGCCAAGUAGCGGGCAGGAUGACGGCCCUAUGGGUUGUAAACUGCUUUUAUACAGGAAUAAAGUUAGCCACGUGUGGUUAUUUGUAGGUACUGUAUGAAUAAGGACCGGCUAAUUCCGUGCCAGCAGCCGCCGUAA
Molecule: ribosomal RNA, 506 nt
Filed under: uncultured bacterium
Lineage: Bacteria
Description: partial 16S ribosomal RNA
Rfam family: Bacterial small subunit ribosomal RNA
Source: RNAcentral